RNAcentral lists this ribosomal RNA (346 nucleotides) under uncultured Lactobacillus sp. RNAcentral describes it as "bacterial SSU rRNA". It matches the Rfam family "Bacterial small subunit ribosomal RNA", at positions 350 to 688 of the family's 1533-position model. The record is from RNAcentral. Lineage: Bacteria; Bacillati; Bacillota; Bacilli; Lactobacillales; Lactobacillaceae.
AGCAGUAGGGAAUCUUCCACAAUGGACGAAAGUCUGAUGGAGCAACGCCGCGUGAGUGAAGAAGGUUUUCGGGUCGUAAAACUCUGUUGUUGGAGAAGAAUGUAUCUGAUAGUAACCGAUCAGGUAGUGACGGUAUCCAACCAGAAAGCCACGGCUAACUACGUGCCAGCAGCCGCGGUAAUACGUAGGUGGCAAGCGUUGUCCGGAUUUAUUGGGCGUAAAGCGAGCGCAGGCGGUUUCUUAAGUCUGAUGUGAAAGCCUUCGGCUCAACCGAAGAAGUGCAUCGGAAACUGGGAAACUUGAGUGCAGAAGAGGACAGUGGAACUCCAUGUGUAGCGGUGGAAUA